GGAAAAGAAACUAACAAGGAUUCCCCUAGUAACUGCGAGUGAAGCGGGAAAAGCUCAAAUUUAAAAUCUGGCGGUCUUUGGCCGUCCGAGUUGUAGUCUGGAGAAGUGCUUUCCGCGCUGGACCGUGUACAAGUCUCUUGGAACAGAGCGUCAUAGAGGGUGAGAAUCCCGUCUUUGACACGGACUACCAGUGCUUUGUGAUGCGCUCUCAAAGAGUCGAGUUGUUUGGGAAUGCAGCUCAAAAUGGGUGGUAAAUUCCAUCUAAAGCUAAAUAUUGGCGAGAGACCGAUAGCGAACAAGUACCGUGAGGGAAAGAUGAAAAGCACUUUGGAAAGAGAGUUAAACAGUACGUGAAAUUGCUGAAAGGGAAACGCUUGAAGUCAGUCGCGUUGGCCAGGACUCAGCCUUGCUUUUUUGCUUGGUGCAUUUUCUGGUUGACGGGCCAGCAUCGAUUUUGACCGCUGGAAAAAGAUUAGGGGAAUGUGGCACCUUCGGGUGUGUUAUAGCCCUUAGUCACAUACAGUGGUUGGGAUCGAGGACCGCAGCACGCCUUUAUGGCCGGGGUUCGCCCACGUUCGUGCUUAGGAUGCUGGCGUAAUGGCUUUAAACGACCCGUCUUGAAACACGGACCAAGGAGUCUAACAUGCCUGCGAGUGUUUGGGUGGAAAACCCGAGCGCGUAAUGAAAGUGAAAGUUGAGAUCCCUGUCGUGGGGAGCAUCGACGCCCGGACCUGAACUUCGGUGAUGGAUCUGCGGUAGAGCAUGUAUGUUGGGACCCGAAAGAUGGUGAACUAUGCCUGAAUAGGGUGAAGCCAGAGGAAACUCUGGUGGAGGCUCGUAGCGAUUCUGACGUGCAAAUCGAUCGUCAAAUUUGGGUAUAGGGGCGAAAGACUAAUCGAACC
This 902-nucleotide ribosomal RNA is filed under the name Fomitopsis ochracea. RNAcentral's name for it is "partial large subunit ribosomal RNA". It matches the Rfam family "Eukaryotic large subunit ribosomal RNA", at positions 55 to 941 of the family's 3401-position model. The record is from RNAcentral. Lineage: Eukaryota; Fungi; Basidiomycota; Agaricomycetes; Polyporales; Fomitopsidaceae.